CAGUAGCCUCGGGAAAACGGAGGGGGCUAGCGUUGUUCGGAAUUACUGGGCGUAAAGCGCACGUAGGCGGCUUGGUAAGUUAGAGGUGAAAGCCUGGAGCUCAACUCCAGAAUUGCCUUUAAGACUGCCGAGCUAGCAGGUGAGAGAGGUGAGUGGAAUUCCGAGUGUAGAGGUGAAAUUCGUAGAUAUUCGGAAGAACACCAGUGGCGAAGGCGGCUCACUGGCUCAUACUGGACGCUGAGGUGCGAAAGCGUGGGGAGCAAACAGGAUUAGAUACCCCUGUAGUCCCUGUCUCUUAUAC
Molecule: ribosomal RNA, 301 nt
Filed under: uncultured bacterium
Lineage: Bacteria
Description: partial 16S ribosomal RNA
Rfam family: Bacterial small subunit ribosomal RNA
Source: RNAcentral